GCCCCCAUGGUGUAGCGGUGAGCACGUCGGCCUUUCACGCCGGAGGCGGGAGUUCAACUCUCCCUGGGGGUA
RNAcentral lists this transfer RNA (72 nucleotides) under Actinomycetota bacterium. RNAcentral's name for it is "tRNA-Glu". It matches the Rfam family "tRNA". Rfam says of the family: Transfer RNA (tRNA) molecules are approximately 80 nucleotides in length. The record is from RNAcentral. Lineage: Bacteria; Bacillati; Actinomycetota.